GGUAUGGUGUGUGUGUGUGUGUGUGUGUGUGUGUGUGUGUGUGAUCGUGUUCUGUUUCAGAAAUCUCCCGGCACUCGUGAAUGGCGAAUGUGUCGUAGGUGAAUAAUGCUUCGGUGGAAUUAGGUUGAGGGACGUUGAGUGUUUUGGAGACAUCUGGAGACGGUAGAGUCAGACGGCACCAAAACUUACUAAUUGGAACAUUACCUGCCCUCCAACUGCUAUAACAUGGUAAACUUGAAGCUUAAGGACGUUCCUUCUGUCGAGCUACACAUCAUAUAAUGGAGAUGCCAGUGAUCCUGACCGUUUCUGCUCUCCGGACCUGCCUGAUCCAUCUGGAUGCCUUACGUCUGGAUGGAGCUCUCAUCAACUGGAGGCUACAGCCUGGAGAUC
Long non-coding RNA from Ictalurus punctatus (channel catfish), 390 nucleotides. NCBI's taxonomy places the organism in Eukaryota, Metazoa, Chordata, Actinopteri, Siluriformes, Ictaluridae. The record is from Ensembl.